This 459-nucleotide ribosomal RNA is filed under the name uncultured bacterium. RNAcentral describes it as "partial 16S ribosomal RNA". It matches the Rfam family "Bacterial small subunit ribosomal RNA", at positions 338 to 795 of the family's 1533-position model. The record is from RNAcentral.
CCUACGGGUGACAGCAGUGAGGAAUAUUGGUCAAUGGGCGGGAGCCUGAACCAGCCAAGCCGCGUGAGGGAAGAAGGUACAGCGUAUCGUAAACCUCUUUUGUCAGGGAACAAAGGCGGGGACUAGUCCCCGGAUGAGGGUACCUGAAGAAAAAGCAUCGGCUAACUCCGUGCCAGCAGCCGCGGUAAUACGGAGGAUGCGAGCGUUAUCCGGAUUUAUUGGGUUUAAGGGGUGCGAAGGCGGCCGUUCAAGUCAGCGGUAACAGCCCGGGGCUCAACCCCGGCGAGCAGUCGAAACUGGCGUGCUGGAGUUGGCGAGAAGUACGCGGAAUGCGCGGUGUAGCGGUGAAAUGCUUAGAUAUCGCGCAGAACCCCGAUUGCGAAGGCAGCGUACCGGCUCCACACUGACGCUGAGGCACGAAAGCGUGGGUAUCGAACAGGAUUAGAUACCCGGGUAGUC